AUUCAGCUGACGAGUCCCAAAUAGGACGAAACGUGCAUGCUAGAU
Schistosoma rodhaini is the source of this 45-nucleotide non-coding RNA. NCBI's taxonomy places the organism in Eukaryota, Metazoa, Platyhelminthes, Trematoda, Strigeidida, Schistosomatidae. The record is from Rfam.